Molecule: long non-coding RNA, 798 nt
Filed under: Heterocephalus glaber (naked mole-rat)
Lineage: Eukaryota; Metazoa; Chordata; Mammalia; Rodentia; Bathyergidae
Description: lncRNA (ENSHGLG00000038956.1)
Source: RNAcentral
GGAAGAGAAAAAUAAACUCGUAGUUCGGUCUUAGGAGCCCGGAUGACUAUGUCUUUUUACUUUUGAAGUGUGUUUUUUCUUUCAUCCUCACCCCUCCUCUCAGUUUUGAGACAAGGUCUCACUACCUGCCUUGAAUUUUGAGAUCCUCCUGCUUCAGCCUCCUGAGUGCUGGGAUUACAGGAAAGUGACACCAUUCCUAGCUGAACCGGGAAUUAAACUCAGGACCAUGCGCUUAUGGGGACAACGCCCACCUCCUGGGUUACUGUUAAGACGAGGACUAUGACCACACGGGUCACACCAAACACAAUACUUGGCCCAGCUGCUCCCCCUGCCUCGCCGCAGAAAUCGCCUGUCCCAUGCAUGAAGAGCACCUCAUCAGCAAACUCUGACCCAAGCACUCAGAAUAAGCCUUCUUUGUUCAGGUGCUGAGGAUCUCAGCUCCGUCUUGAAUUUUGUAACUACAGGAAUAAAUGUUUAAAGUACCUGGGUGUGGUUUGCUAACACAAUUAAAAAAUUUUUUGAGGGGGCAACCCACUUUCUAGUCCCUUCUGUCUCUUAGACAGCAGCUUUCUCUCAGUACAAUUUUCCUCUUAAACUGAAAAAAAAAAAAAAAAGAAAUUUUUUUUUUUGAGACAGGGUCUCACUAUGCUGUCCAGGCUGGCCUCAAACUUUCCAUCCUCCUGGCUCAGCCUCUCGUCACUGGGACUGCAGGAAUACACCACCAGGCCUGGCAACCAACACACUGGGACAGUAUCUGUCACAGGAUAAACUCAAUAUUAAGUUUAUUAAAUCAAUGAC